RNAcentral lists this small nucleolar RNA (213 nucleotides) under Carlito syrichta (Philippine tarsier). RNAcentral's name for it is "Small nucleolar RNA U3 (ENSTSYG00000020084.2)". It matches the Rfam family "Small nucleolar RNA U3". Rfam says of the family: Small nucleolar RNAs (snoRNAs) are involved in the processing and modification of rRNA in the nucleolus. There are two main classes of snoRNAs: the box C/D class, and the box H/ACA class. Lineage: Eukaryota; Metazoa; Chordata; Mammalia; Primates; Tarsiidae. The record is from Rfam by way of RNAcentral.
AAGACUAUAUUUUCAGGGAUAAUUUCUCUAGUUUGUUACUAGAGAAGUUUCUUUGAUCAUAUAGGGCACCAGAAACCAUGAGGAUGCAGUGUUCUCUCCUGAGUGAGAAGCCAGCUGUUGGUGUUGCUUUGCUGUGAUUGCCAUUUGCCAUUGUUGAGCAUUCUUGAUCUCUCCUUCAGGGGAGCAAGAGGGAGAGGAUAUAGUCUGAGUAGA